RNAcentral lists this ribosomal RNA (966 nucleotides) under Enterobacter hormaechei subsp. hoffmannii. Its description in RNAcentral is "partial 23S ribosomal RNA". It matches the Rfam family "Bacterial large subunit ribosomal RNA", at positions 794 to 1756 of the family's 2925-position model. Lineage: Bacteria; Pseudomonadati; Pseudomonadota; Gammaproteobacteria; Enterobacterales; Enterobacteriaceae. The record is from RNAcentral.
AAAUUAGCGGAUGACCUGUGGCUGGGGGUGAAAGGCCAAUCAAACCGGGAGAUAGCUGGUUCUCCCCGAAAGCUAUUUAGGUAGCGCCUCGUGAACUCAUCUUCGGGGGUAGAGCACUGUUUCGGCUAGGGGGCCAUCCCGGCUUACCAACCCGAUGCAAACUACGAAUACCGAAGAAUGUUAUCACGGGAGACACACGGCGGGUGCUAACGUCCGUCGUGAAGAGGGAAACAACCCAGACCGCCAGCUAAGGUCCCAAAGUCAUGGUUAAGUGGGAAACGAUGUGGGAAGGCACAGACAGCCAGGAUGUUGGCUUAGAAGCAGCCAUCAUUUAAAGAAAGCGUAAUAGCUCACUGGUCGAGUCGGCCUGCGCGGAAGAUGUAACGGGGCUAAACCAUGCACCGAAGCUGCGGCAGCGACGCUUAGGCGUUGUUGGGUAGGGGAGCGUUCUGUAAGCUGUUGAAGGUGUGCUGUGAGGCAUGCUGGAGGUAUCAGAAGUGCGAAUGCUGACAUAAGUAACGAUAAAGCGGGUGAAAAGCCCGCUCGCCGGAAGACCAAGGGUUCCUGUCCAACGUUAAUCGGGGCAGGGUGAGUCGACCCCUAAGGCGAGGCCGAAAGGCGUAGUCGAUGGGAAACAGGUUAAUAUUCCUGUACUUGGUGUUACUGCGAAGGGGGGACGGAGAAGGCUAUGUCAGCCGGGCGACGGUUGUCCCGGUUUAAGCAUGUAGGCGGAGGUUCCAGGUAAAUCCGGUACCUUAUUAACGCUGAGGUGUGAUGACGAGGCACUACGGUGCUGAAGUGAUAAAUGCCCUGCUUCCAGGAAAAGCCUCUAAGCAUCAGGUAACACGAAAUCGUACCCCAAACCGACACAGGUGGUCAGGUAGAGAAUACCAAGGCGCUUGAGAGAACUCGGGUGAAGGAACUAGGCAAAAUGGUGCCGUAACUUCGGGAGAAGGCACGCUGAUA